Molecule: ribosomal RNA, 408 nt
Filed under: Stenopeltis gracilis
Lineage: Eukaryota; Rhodophyta; Florideophyceae; Nemaliales; Liagoraceae
Description: bacterial LSU rRNA
Rfam family: Bacterial large subunit ribosomal RNA
Source: RNAcentral
GGACAGAAAGACCCUAUGAAGCUUUACUGUAACUUGGAAUUGGAUUUGGGCUUUUCUUGCGCAGCAUAGGUGGGAGGCAAAGAAAUUAAAUUUGCGGAUUUGAUGGAGCCGUCAAUGAGAUACCACUCUGGACAAGCUAAAAUUCUAACUUUGAGCCGUUAUCCGGACAAAGAACAGUUUCAGGUGGGCAGUUUGACUGGGGCGGUCGCCUCCUAAAAAGUAACGGAGGCGUGCAAAGGUUCCCUCAGGCUGGUCGGAAAUCAGUCGUAGAGUGUAAAGGCAUAAGGGAGCUUGACUGCAAGACCUACAAGUCGAGCAGAGACGAAAGUCGGCCUUAGUGAUCCGACAGUGCCGAGUGGAAGGGCUGUCGCUCAACGGAUAAAAGUUACUCUAGGGAUAACAGGCUGA